RNAcentral lists this ribosomal RNA (515 nucleotides) under uncultured bacterium. RNAcentral describes it as "bacterial SSU rRNA". It matches the Rfam family "Bacterial small subunit ribosomal RNA", at positions 8 to 526 of the family's 1533-position model. The record is from RNAcentral.
AGAGUUUGAUCCUGGCUCAGGAUGAACGCUAGCGGGAGGCCUAAUACAUGCAAGUCGAGCGGUAGAGUCCUUCGGGACUUGAGAGCGGCGCACGGGUGAGUAACGCGUACAUGACCUGCCUUUAAGACCGGGAUAGCCCUGGGAAACUGGGAUUAAUACCGGAUGUGAUAAUAUGUAUAGAGAUAUAUUAUUAAAGUUGAGGCGCUUAGAGAUGGGUGUGCGUUUGAUUAGCUAGUUGGUAGGGUAACGGCCUACCAAGGCGACGAUCAAUAGGGGGCGUGAGAGCGUGACCCCCCACACGGGUACUGAGACACGAACCCGACUCCUACGGGAGGCAGCAGUAAGGAAUAUUGGUCAAUGGACGGAAGUCUGAACCAGCCAUCCCGCGUGCAGGAUGAAGGUCCUAUGGAUUGUAAACUGCUUUUAGCAGAGACGAAACGCCGACAUUUAUGUUGGUCUGACGGUAUCUGCAGAAUAAGCACCGGCUAACUCCGUGCCAGCAGCCGCGGUAAUAC